Molecule: unclassified non-coding RNA, 391 nt
Filed under: soil metagenome
Description: partial contains 5.8S ribosomal RNA, internal transcribed spacer 2, and large subunit ribosomal RNA
Rfam family: 5.8S ribosomal RNA (bases 1-122)
Source: RNAcentral
GAUGAAGAACGUAGCGAAAUGCGAUACUUGGUGUGAAUUGCAGAAUCCCGUGAACCAUCGAGUCUUUGAACGCAAGUUGCGCCCGAAGCCACUAGGCCGAGGGCACGCCUGCCUGGGCGUCACACGCCGUUGCCCCCCCAUCUACUCCUUCGGGAUUGCGGGGGGGCGGAUGAUGGCCUCCCGUGCGCCUAGCCGCGCGGUUGGCAUAAAUACCAAGUCCUCGGCGACGCACGCCACGACAAUCGGUGGUUGCGAAACCUCGGUUGCCCGUCGUGUGCGUUCGUCGCGCAUCGAGGGCUCGAAAAAAUGCUCGGCUCCGGCUGGGCUUUCAACGCGACCCCAGGUCAGGCGGGGUUACCCGCUGAAUUUAAGAAUAUCAAUAAGCGGAGGA